AGAGUUUGAUCCUGGCUCAGGAUGAACGCUAGCGACAGGCUUAACACAUGCAAGUCGAGGGGCAGCACAGGUAGCAAUACCGGGUGGCGACCGGCGCACGGGUGAGUAACGCGUAUGCAACUUACCUAUCAGAGGGGGAUAACCCGGCGAAAGUCGGACUAAUACCGCAUGAAGCAGGGGCCCCGCAUGGGGAUAUUUGCUAAAGAUUCAUCGCUGAUAGAUAGGCAUGCGUUCCAUUAGGCAGUUGGCGGGGUAACGGCCCACCAAACCGACGAUGGAUAGGGGUUCUGAGAGGAAGGUCCCCCACAUUGGUACUGAGACACGGACCAAACUCCUACGGGAGGCAGCAGUGAGGAAUAUUGGUCAAUGGGCGUAAGCCUGAACCAGCCAAGUCGCGUGAGGGAUGAAGGUUCUAUGGAUCGUAAACCUCUUUUAUAAGGGAAUAAAGUGCGGGACGUGUCCCGUUUUGUAUGUACCUUAUGAAUAAGGAUCGGCUAACUCCGUGCCAGCAGCCGCGGUAAUACGGAGGAUCCGAGCGUUAUCCGGAUUUAUUGGGUUUAAAGGGUGCGUAGGCGGCCUUUUAAGUCAGCGGUGAAAGUCUGUGGCUCAACCAUAGAAUUGCCGUUGAAACUGGGGGGCUUGAGUAUGUUUGAGGCAGGCGGAAUGCGUGGUGUAGCGGUGAAAUGCUUAGAUAUCACGCAGAACCCCGAUUGCGAAGGCAGCCUGCCAAGCCAUGACUGACGCUGAUGCACGAAAGCGUGGGGAUCAAACAGGAUUAGAUACCCUGGUAGUCCACGCAGUAAACGAUGAUCACUAGCUGUUUGCGAUACAGUGUAAGCGGCACAGCGAAAGCGUUAAGUGAUCCACCUGGGGAGUACGCCGGCAACGGUGAAACUCAAAGGAAUUGACGGGGGCCCGCACAAGCGGAGGAACAUGUGGUUUAAUUCGAUGAUACGCGAGGAACCUUACCCGGGUUUGAACGCAUUCGGACCGAGGUGGAAACACCUUUUCUAGCAAUAGCCGUUUGCGAGGUGCUGCAUGGUUGUCGUCAGCUCGUGCCGUGAGGUGUCGGCUUAAGUGCCAUAACGAGCGCAACCCUUGCCACUAGUUACUAACAGGUGAUGCUGAGGACUCUGGUGGGACUGCCAGCGUAAGCUGCGAGGAAGGCGGGGAUGACGUCAAAUCAGCACGGCCCUUACAUCCGGGGCGACACACGUGUUACAAUGGCGUGGACAAAGGGAAGCCACCUGGCGACAGGGAGCGAAUCCCCAAACCACGUCUCAGUUCGGAUCGGAGUCUGCAACCCGACUCCGUGAAGCUGGAUUCGCUAGUAAUCGCGCAUCAGCCAUGGCGCGGUGAAUACGUUCCCGGGCCUUGUACACACCGCCCGUCAAGCCAUGGGAGCCGGGGGUACCUGAAGUCCGUAACCGCGAGGAUCGGCCUAGGGUAAAACUGGUGACUGGGGCUAAGUCGUAACAAGGUAGCCGUACCGGAAGGUGCGGCUG
Molecule: ribosomal RNA, 1505 nt
Filed under: Parabacteroides distasonis
Lineage: Bacteria; Pseudomonadati; Bacteroidota; Bacteroidia; Bacteroidales; Tannerellaceae
Description: bacterial SSU rRNA
Rfam family: Bacterial small subunit ribosomal RNA
Source: RNAcentral